AUUGAACGCUGGCGGCAUGCCUUACACAUGCAAGUCGAACGGCAGCACGGGUGCUUGCACCUGGUGGCGAGUGGCGAACGGGUGAGUAAUACAUCGGAACAUGUCCUGUAGUGGGGGAUAGCCCGGCGAAAGCCGGAUUAAUACCGCAUACGAUCUACGGAUGAAAGCGGGGGACCUUCGGGCCUCGCGCUAUAGGGUUGGCCGAUGGCUGAUUAGCUAGUUGGUGGGGUAAAGGCCUACCAAGGCGACGAUCAGUAGCUGGUCUGAGAGGACGACCAGCCACACUGGGACUGAGACACGGCCCAGACCCCUACGGGAGGCAGCAGUGGGGAAUUUUGGACAAUGGGCGAAAGCCUGAUCCAGCAAUGCCGCGUGUGUGAAGAAGGCCUUCGGGUUGUAAAGCACUUUUGUCCGGAAAGAAAUCCUUGGCUCUAAUACAGUCGGGGGAUGACGGUACCGGAAGAAUAAGCACCGGCUAACUACGUG
This 486-nucleotide ribosomal RNA is filed under the name uncultured bacterium. Its description in RNAcentral is "partial 16S ribosomal RNA". It matches the Rfam family "Bacterial small subunit ribosomal RNA", at positions 30 to 507 of the family's 1533-position model. The record is from RNAcentral.